This is a long non-coding RNA of Oncorhynchus masou masou (cherry salmon), 2448 nucleotides long. RefSeq lists it as uncharacterized. Lineage: Eukaryota; Metazoa; Chordata; Actinopteri; Salmoniformes; Salmonidae. The record is from RefSeq and is a predicted model, not a curated record. The transcript has 6 exons.
GGCAUGCGCUUAUGGGGUUUAUAUUCUGCAGAAGUGUAUGCUAAUUUUGCAUGGAAGAAAAUAAACAAUAAAAACUGUCAAAAAGAGAGUUGAAGAGAGAAUUUCUCAACCAGAAAUUAACAGCGGCUGCUGAAGAGAUAUUUGGGGUCUUUGAAAAAACGAUAACAGAGUACCAGCUAGACAUUUUCCAUACAAAAGUGAAGAACGAACGUCUUUGUGGGCUGUUGAUGUUGCACAAAGCAGAUCUACAUGUGCAACUGUUUCUCCUUCCCUCCAGAGUCCGACUGCCAGCAGCAGGCUGAAGCUACUAUCACUUUGGUGCAGGUUGCCCCUGAGCAGCAGCAGUCAUAUACUCAAGAGUGGGGCCUCUGUCUAAGACAGGAGGACCCAGAGCCCACAGUGUAAAGAGGAAGAGGAUACCCACUGGAUCAGUGAGGUUGAAGAACACAUUCAAAAGCUGGAGUCUGAUUCCAAAGAAUAUCCAGACCAAGUAUCCACUUCUGAAGAUUCACAUUCCAAAUGGAGACAGAAGGGUCAGUAAAUGAAGCCAUCAAACUGAAAGUCAUUCUCAACGACAACAGAAUAGAGAAAGUGAUUCUGCCCUCUCAACCUGACUCACUGAAUGAGCUGAUAUCAACGCUCAAGGAGAAACUGCAUCUGCAGUUUGAUUUCAGUCUUCUUUAUGAAGACCCUGAUUUCAACAAUGAGCUCUUCAACUUAGAGACCAUUGAAGACUUGCCUUCUCCUAGGGCUACAGGGAAAGUUUUGCGAAUACGACGUGAUACAGACCUCGGUUUAACCGGAUUCUCAGCCACCGAGUUGCGGGAUGCCCCACCAGAGCGGUUAGGAAGAUGGCCUGAGGUAUUUGUCAUACCCACUUUCUAGAUGGAGGUUGAGUUUGCUCUGAGAGAGGGCAAUUGUGUAUAUCUGAGACAUGAAACGGUGCUGAAAAUAACAAGGGAUCAAAAACACAACAUUCUUCAUAGGAUGGCUUGGACAAUCUUCAAUUCCAAAGCGUACCCAAGUGACAGGCAGUUUGCCAAGGCAGCUGAGACCCUUGUAACCAAGCACCCGUGUUUGAAAGAGCCUGGCUCAAAAACAGGCUGUGAUGGCUGGAAGAACAUCCUGAAAUUCAAAAUGGGAAACUACAGGCAGAAGUUAUGCCGUGUUGGGUUCCCAGAGGUUGCUGUGAACGGGGGGAGGAGGAGCAAGCAUCGUCCUGACAAUGAGCAGCUCGGAGCAACAUUAAACAAGCGCGCCGGGCAGAGGUGAACUUCCUGCCCAACUUCCCUCAAGGAGAAGACGAGGCCAGCCUGGAGAAACAGAGACUGGAGAUGGUCCACGAGAUGACAAAAGAAAACUGAGACUUGCUGGGUCCCACAGUGGCACAUUGUAAACAGGAAGAGGAUACACACUGGAUCAGUGAGGUUGAAGAAUACAUUGAAAGGCUGAAGUCUGAUCCCAAAGACCCUGACCAAGUAUCCCCUUCUGAAGGUACAUGCUGAGUUUCAGAGAAUCACCAACCAGAGCCUGCAGCAGAUGUUCUACUCUGCCUUGGACCACCACACGCCCCUCCUGCUGACCCUGUUCAGGGAGAAGGAGGGGAAGUCUACCACCCAUGGAGGAAAUUCUCAAGCAUCCUGAGAGUAUACAAUGAGCAGUUCACUUCACAGGGAGAAAAUAACAUCACCGUGGCCCAUUCUGCAGUCCUGGCUGGUCUCCCUUUGUUGUUACGAGAGGAUAGUUCUGACGUCUUCAAAAUCGUCGAGUGGGAGAACUCAGCAGCCCUGGUAUUCUGGAGGGAGUUUCCAUUCUCUCAGUGGUGGGCUAUAGCACAAUGAGGUGGUGGGUGGUAUACCCAUCAGACUGGCCCAUCUAUCCAUUGUCCUUGAGGAUAAGAUCGUCAUGACUAACUCCCGCUCCUGGCCAGACGCUCUCGUGGUUGUUUUUGGGCUACUCUACUCCCUCCAUCUGAUCUACCCCAAAGCCCUGGGCAGUCGUGAGUUCAUGCAGAAAGUCUUCCUGAACCUCGACGAUGGAAAACUAAAGCCCAAGCGGCUAGCGCUGAAAUAUGAACUGUUGGCAUAAUUCUGUAGUGAUGAGAUGGAAUUUUACUUUGAGUGACCUAUAUGCCGAGCGAGUGGUUUGAAAACAAUGGUUAUUUUUGUUUGGUUUGCUUUUAUAUUUUUGUAUGUUUUUUUUGUGCAGGUAAUGGGAUUUGAUAUUGUAUUUCAAUUCACUUAUAACCCUUUUAUGUGAAAAGAAGACACAGGUCAGUCAACACAUUAACUUGCCACAUACAUGGUCAAUCUGCGACCCAGUUCUCUACCUUUGUUAUACAGCUGCAGAAAACCCCCAAAUGUUUUCUAGAAGAUUUCACCUUUGCAGACAUUCCGACUGGCACAAAAUACAUGUUGAUAAAAUGUUUAUUAAAGUGUCUUUACCUGC